Molecule: ribosomal RNA, 1383 nt
Filed under: Triticum aestivum (bread wheat)
Lineage: Eukaryota; Viridiplantae; Streptophyta; Magnoliopsida; Poales; Poaceae
Description: partial small subunit ribosomal RNA
Source: RNAcentral
AUGACUCUCGCUACAAAAACCUAUUCCGAUUAUGAGUACUUAUUACAACUAUACACGGCAAGGAAACAGAGAGCGGAGUCUCCUAUUCCGACUAUUCCGAUACUAUACCGCACCGAACGUACACGUCGUGCUGCCUCACCAGCCCAUAUAUGGCUAGCUCUAGGGUCGCUUACCCUCAUCGGCGGACGAUACCAUCAAUUGUCACGAACCAAACGCCGCUGCCGCUCGCUCGCCUUACGUCCCGCGCGCGGCCAUGUCAGACCUCCCGCCGCACCCUGGCGCUUGGCCCGUCGACCCUGGGUACUCACCGAUUCAAAGUGCCACAUCGGCGACCGCGACAACGCGACCACCGCCCAUGCCGUCACGAGCCAGAAGAGCGACAUCAAGGUGACUUUCGAGCUCGCCAACCCGCCCGGCGUCUCUGGCUGCUUCGUCUACUGCCCCGGCCUGGUGGAGAGACACUACCGAGGAGAUCCCCUGGUUCUGAGCUCGGCGGACGCGUUCAUCCUUCUCGUCAUACCGUUCACCAGCAGCUCCACGCGCAAGGAGUGCAACGACUUCUUCGUCUACAAGGCAGGUCCAGGGGCUCCAUCUCUCUGUCUUCUUCCCGACAAUGUUACUCUGGCCGGCGUCGUGCCCCUCGGCGGAGCCGAUCUUAACAACAAAGGCUACGCCGUGGUCUUCCCGCGAUACACCAACGACCAUAUCGACAAGAAGUACAAGUACAUCCUCCAAGUAUAUCGCUCCGAUGUCUCUUACUGUCCGUGGCGCAAAGAGGUGGCCAACAUCGCCAUGGACACCAAGUACCACAAUCACGAGGUAAUAAUGCGGCACGAAGGCACCCGUGUGAUCUUCGCCGGUAAGGAAACACUCGGCUGGGUCAAUCAUUGGCAUGGCAUUAUUCUAUGCAACGUGCUCGACCACCGUCCGGCCAUGCAUUUCAUCCAAUGGCCUGUUCCGAUUUCUUGCGAUCUUGUGCCACGGUUUGGAAUGGGAGUUUACAAUAUCUAUGCACGGCCCUUCCGCGACGUCGUUAUAAGCAAUGGCAUGAUUAGGUUCGUUGAGCUGAAAUCUUGUCGAUAUAGCCAUACCCACAAUGAGAAAGGGAUCAUUGGCCAAGGCUGGACGGUCACCACAUGGAACAGGGGGAUCUGCUCAAAGAAGUGGAACAAGAGCUUCACUCUCAAGGCCGAUAACGUGCCUCUCACAGAUUUUAGUUACCCUAAGGUAUCAGGUGACAAGAGGUUGAGCUGGGACAAGGUGGUUCACGGCGGGCCCACUCUGAGCUUGUGUGACAACGAUAUUGUCUACAUCAUGCUAGAUUGGACACCCGCCACCGGGUUGCAUGGAUGCUUGCCAUUAAUAUCAGAGAGGGAACACUAG